UACAGAGGUCUCAACCGUUGUUCGGAUUCAUUGGGCGUAAAGGGUGCGUAGGUGGUCGCGUAAGUCGGAUGUGAAAUCCCGGGGCUCAACCUCGGAACUGCACUCGAUACUGCGCGGCUAGGGUACUGGAGAGGAGACUGGAAUUUACGGUGUAGCAGUGAAAUGCGUAGAUAUCGUAAGGAAGACCAGUGGCGAAGGCGAGUCUCUGGACAGUUACCGACACUGAGGCACGAAGGCCAGGGGAGCAAACGGG
This 253-nucleotide ribosomal RNA is filed under the name uncultured bacterium. Its description in RNAcentral is "partial 16S ribosomal RNA". It matches the Rfam family "Bacterial small subunit ribosomal RNA", at positions 524 to 776 of the family's 1533-position model. The record is from RNAcentral.